AGAACUCUGCGCUAGAC
Molecule: unclassified non-coding RNA, 17 nt
Filed under: Mus musculus (house mouse)
Lineage: Eukaryota; Metazoa; Chordata; Mammalia; Rodentia; Muridae
Description: oocyte_clustered_small_RNA4522
Source: RNAcentral